RNAcentral lists this ribosomal RNA (253 nucleotides) under uncultured bacterium. RNAcentral's name for it is "partial 16S ribosomal RNA". It matches the Rfam family "Bacterial small subunit ribosomal RNA", at positions 524 to 776 of the family's 1533-position model. The record is from RNAcentral.
UACAGAGGUCUCAAGCGUUGUUCGGAUUCACUGGGCUUAAAGGGUGCGUAGGCGGGUUGGUAAGUCAGUGGUGAAAUCUCCAAGCUUAACUUGGAAACUGCCGUUGAUACUAUCAAUCUUGAAUCUCGUGGAGGUAAGCGGAAUAUGUCAUGUAGCGGUGAAAUGCUUAGAUAUGACAUAGAACACCGAUAGCGAAGGCAGCUUGCUACACGAGUAUUGACGCUGAGGCACGAAAGCGUGGGGAGCAAACAGG